This 484-nucleotide ribosomal RNA is filed under the name uncultured bacterium. Its description in RNAcentral is "partial 16S ribosomal RNA". It matches the Rfam family "Bacterial small subunit ribosomal RNA", at positions 30 to 507 of the family's 1533-position model. The record is from RNAcentral.
AUUGAACGCUGGCGGCAGGCCUAACACAUGCAAGUCGAGCGGAUGAAGGGAGCUUGCUCCUGGAUUCAGCGGCGGACGGGUGAGUAAUGCCUAGGAAUCUGCCUGGUAGUGGGGGAUAACGUCCGGAAACGGGCGCUAAUACCGCAUACGUCCUGAGGGAGAAAGUGGGGGAUCUUCGGACCUCACGCUAUCAGCUUAGCCUAGGUCGGAUUAGCUAGUUGGUGGGGUAAAGGCCUACCAAGGCGACGAUCCGUAACUGGUCUGAGAGGAUGAUCAGUCACACUGGAACUGAGACACGGUCCAGACUCCUACGGGAGGCAGCAGUGGGGAAUAUUGGACAAUGGGCGAAAGCCUGAUCCAGCCAUGCCGCGUGUGUGAAGAAGGUCUUCGGAUUGUAAAGCACUUUAAGUUGGGAGGAAGGGCAGUAAGUUAAUACCUUGCUGUUUUGACGUUACCAACAGAAUAAGCACCGGCUAACUUCGUG